Salvia splendens (bonfire salvia) is the source of this 391-nucleotide long non-coding RNA. RefSeq lists it as uncharacterized. Lineage: Eukaryota; Viridiplantae; Streptophyta; Magnoliopsida; Lamiales; Lamiaceae. The record is from RefSeq and is a predicted model, not a curated record. The transcript is spliced from 3 exons.
UGCCAUUAUGGUGAAUGGUAUUUUUUGGCGUGUAAGACUUGUGUUAAGAAGGUCAGAGAAGUGGAUAAUAAAUUUAACUGUUCUGGAUGUACAAAAACUCAUUCUUAUGCAGUUAAAAGGUUCAAGUUUGUGGUGAAUGUUGUUGAUCAUACCAGCAAUGCAUCUUUGUUAUUGUGGGAUAGGGAAGACAGCCAACUUUUAGGGAGAAGUGUGACAGAUUUUUUAGGAAAUGGUGGUCAGGUUGCUCCUAAGAAUUCCAUUCCUGCACUUAUUGAAGAGAUUCUUGUGGGUCAGAAUGUCCUAUUUAAACUUCAGUUGAAAAAUCAUAUUGAGUAUUACAGAAGUUACCCAUUUACUGUGAACAAAGUUUGUAAUCUCCCUGAAGUAGUUG